Molecule: long non-coding RNA, 2633 nt
Filed under: Salmo salar (Atlantic salmon)
Lineage: Eukaryota; Metazoa; Chordata; Actinopteri; Salmoniformes; Salmonidae
Description: lncRNA (ENSSSAG00000083838.1)
Source: RNAcentral
UUCGCAACACCUACGGCUUCCACUAGAUGUCAACGAUCUUUAUAAAGUUGUUUGAAGCGUCUAUGAUAAACAGAGAGCAAAUUAGAAUCCAAGGAAGUUGACAUGUCAUCACUUCAUUUUUUUGCGCCUGCUCAUCAAUCUGAAAAACGUGAGUUUGUCAUCAUUUUUUAUCUAGACAUAGGAUAGGUUGUGUGAAAAUAUUACUGAUGUUUAACGUUAAAAAUGGACCAAAAGAUUAAUGCUAAACAACAUUUGACAUUUUUGAACGAACAUAAAUAGAUUAUUUACUAGGUUUUUUUAGCUUUUCGGCGUGAUUUUACCAGCCCCCCACCACGUUUUGUGGGAGCAUAAUGAACGCUAAGUACUUGGUGUUAUUUGGACAUAAAUUAUGAACUUUGUCAAAAGAAACCACAUUUGUUCCGGACCUGGAAUGCCUUCCGGACCUGGGAUCCUGCCUUCUGAUGGAGAUAAUCAAAGGGCUCUUUAUACUGUGCUCCUGUUUGGUGGCUUUACCAGCAACAUCCGAGAGGACUAUUACUAAGGUACAGCUGCUGACUGGGAGAAGGGAAGACACCAUAAAUGUACCUCAUACGGUAUGUAUAGCUGUGUUGUUGGGAUGUGCCCAUUCACCAGGCUACAUACAUGAAGGCUAUUCACAGCCACGUCAGCCGUGAUACAAGUCAGUAUUCAACGAACCAUCCGUGCCUGAGGACGUCGGGAGAUGACGCGAGGAUACCUGCCACUAGGGGCAACAGUGAGCGGUUUUGCUAGGGUGUUGUGGACGGGGACGGCGGAUUGGCGUAAGCGCCUGUCUCUGAUUCCAAAAGUUGUAAGUUCAGUUGUUUUUGAGAUUUUUGUUUUUAAGCCUAUCCCAAAUCUUAACCCUUGUCUUAACCAUUCUGAGUUAAUGUCUAACCUUCCGAUUUCGGGGUUAAUGCCUAAACGUAGCCUGAAACACUUUGAAAUUUGAUGUUUGAGACACAUGGAUGAACAUCUAGUUCUGACGUGAGAAUGUGAGAGCUGGUUGGCUAUUCACUAGGUUAAAUACUGUACAUGAAAGCCACUGUUUCUGAUUGUUGCUUUUCAUCUUCUAAUUGGUUGGACUAGAAUGAAUUACCAUGCAGGUGAUGUAAGACCUAUGGACUUCUAGAAAAGGGAAGAGAAAUUGGAGUGUACAGUAUGUUGUUUGGAGGAUUAAGAUGGGAAGUGGGUCACCUUGUAAAAAAUACAUUGCACACUGGUCUUUAGAACUGUACAAAAGACAGGAAAGAAUUUGAAAGUACUGUUAAGAUUUCGUUAACCUUUGUUUUUAUCCAUAGAAUGUCAUACAGAGUUUUAUAACCACUUCUGAGUUAUUAUGGAUGCUUACAGUUGGUGUCAUGACACAUUAUACAGUGUGUUACAAAGCAUUAUAGGCAUGUACUUCAUAGAAAGUGUUACCAAGAUUUCCAACUCUACUCUAAAAUGUACUCAAUAUGGGGCCCAAGUGAUUCGUGUUCAGAAUACUUCUUCCCCAAUUACUUUCACAAAAUUUGACGUGAUUAGGUAUUUCUGAGAAAACUACGAAAUUACCGGUGAUUGUAAGUUAGUCCCCAAGUCAUCGACAGAUCCAUGAUAAAUUCCCAUUGGUCAAUACACGUCUUCCAAUUUAACAUCUUUGUUUUAUUAAAGGUGUUAAAUCAUUUUUGUCAGCACCCCCAAAUGAACCCAAGAGAUAGUUCUAUUUAAUUAGGUGAUUUACAGGGAAUCAUUUGUUAGAUAAUUUUCAACAUGGAUCUAAUUUUAAACUUUACUGCAGAGGAGUCAAAUCAGAGUAAUAAAUAUGCGAAUAAAAUAAUUCCAUGUCUCUUGCCUAUUACUUAUGUCUUUAUAAAACUUGAGAAGUGUAUUAAGCUGGCAAUUAUGAUUUCAUUAAAAUCUAUAAAUGGAGGAUCAUUUGUACUGGAUAAAUGAUCAUACUCAUCUCUAUCCCGCAGUCUCAGGGCAAAUAUGUCUAAUAAGCGCACACACGCACACACACACACACACACACACACACACACACACACACACAGAGAGAGAGACAUACACAGACACACACACACACACAGAGACACGCACAGACACACACACACACUGUUUCCUCCAACGUUAUCGGCUUACUCCAUCAUAUUGAACCACAUCCGUCUUGCCGCCACGUACUUCUCGGAAUCUCCAUUGAACCUCUGAAGAGAAAGAAUAAAAACCUGGGGUGAGUCUGAAUACCAUAGAGAUGCUAUGCUGAAUACACACAAACGCCCAUGCAAACACACGCACAUCCACAUUAGGCAGACAAUCGGUCGCUGUCAGAAACCUGAAUACAAUACUGUGUAUUAAUAUUUUACGAUGCUCUACCCUCAUUGUCCACAACAUACCAGAAAUACACAAGGGAGCAUGUUAACAUCUUCCCAGACCACUCAGUGUGUGUGUGUGUGUGUGUGUGUGUGAGAGAGAAAGAGAGAGAGAGAGAGAGAGAGAGAGGGAGAGACAGUUUAUCAAUGUAUGCUGUAAACUUUCAGCUGUGUGAGUGUGUGUGUGUCGUUGUUGUUCUGAGGUGCACUGUGUUUCUACCAAAGAGUGGGCGUCCUAUACUCUCUCAACCUCUUACCUAAGGC